This 253-nucleotide ribosomal RNA is filed under the name uncultured bacterium. Its description in RNAcentral is "partial 16S ribosomal RNA". It matches the Rfam family "Bacterial small subunit ribosomal RNA", at positions 524 to 776 of the family's 1533-position model. The record is from RNAcentral.
UACAGAGGGUGCGACCGUUGUUCGGAAUCACUGGGCAUAAAGCGCUCGUAGGCGGCACCGCAAGUGUGGGGUGAAAUCCCACGGCUUACCCGUGGAACUGCCUGGCAGACUGCGGUGCUAGAGGAUGGUAGGGGAGAGCGGAACUCUUGGUGGAGCGGUGAAAUGCGUAGAUAUCAAGAGGAACACCGGUGGCGAAGGCGGCUCUCUGGUCCAAACCUGACGCUGAGGAGCGAAAGCUAGGGGAGCAAACAGG